This 736-nucleotide long non-coding RNA is filed under the name Orussus abietinus. Its description in RNAcentral is "uncharacterized LOC105699131, transcript variant X1". Lineage: Eukaryota; Metazoa; Arthropoda; Insecta; Hymenoptera; Orussidae. The record is from RNAcentral.
AAACGGUGCCAGACGGAUUCGGAUCUGUUUCUAAUGAACAGAGGAGAAUCUGCCGAGGGCUCGGUUACAUGAAACCUGAUCGCCGAUGCAUAAAGAUGCGUUUACAGUUACGACAAGUCACUUCUGGGAGCUUGCAGGCCUGCAGAACGGGGGAUAUCAUUUUUCGCAGUGAUAAACACGGUCACGCCGUGGCAUAUAAAUAACGAUAACACUCACAGUGCACCGCAUACGGUCAAGUACAAUUAGUCUACAUCCUGUUUUCAGCGUUCAAAAGCGCUCCUUUCUGACUCAUGCUCUAAACCAGCCCCAUAAAGUGUGUCACUCUACCUACAUAUACCAAACAACGGGGCAUCCUGAUAUCCGACUGUGGGACGAAACUGUGGGACAUCCGGAUAUCCGACUGAGGGAAACAGAGGAUCUGGAAGAUCUCUGAGGAACCUCCUGAGAGCAGUGGCGACAUCAUGUUCGCUGUACGAAUUUCUGGUGAUUUGGGUGGCCCAGGCAUCUCUUCUAAAGGCUUCCAACAAUCUGGCAAUGGCACUGCUGGAUCCACUUCGACGAUAAAUGCCUUCCGACAUGAUCCCUGGAACACAAGACAUCGAGUCUCCGUAAAUUGCAGGGAAAACGGACACUUUAUACAAAUUACAAGAAAUCGACAGAACUUUUGGGAGGACCUAAUAAGUUUAUCUGAUUUUCCUUUGGUUUUAACAAAAAAUAAUUAUCAAUUACUAAGGCG